This 72-nucleotide transfer RNA is filed under the name Glossogobius olivaceus (urohaze-goby). RNAcentral's name for it is "tRNA-Asp". It matches the Rfam family "tRNA". Rfam says of the family: Transfer RNA (tRNA) molecules are approximately 80 nucleotides in length. Their secondary structure includes four short double-helical elements and three loops (D, anti-codon, and T loops). RNAcentral also lists the same sequence under 1 other name. Lineage: Eukaryota; Metazoa; Chordata; Actinopteri; Gobiiformes; Gobiidae. The record is from RNAcentral.
AAGGUAUUAGUAUAACAGAAAGUACACUGCUUUGUCAAGGCAGACUUGUGGGUUAAAACCCCGCAUACCUUA